RNAcentral lists this long non-coding RNA (2052 nucleotides) under Homo sapiens (human). RNAcentral's name for it is "HSALNT0272684". The record is from RNAcentral. Lineage: Eukaryota; Metazoa; Chordata; Mammalia; Primates; Hominidae.
CAGCCUUCAGCUUUCUCGCAGAACAGGAGCACGCAGCGGGUGAUAAGAGUGAGAUUUCUGUCUGGGGGUGUCUCACCCAAAGCUUUUGUUCUUUGCAUUUCAGCAAGUUUUCUUGAGGACAGGCAAGGAUUGGGAUCUGAGGGCCAUUUUUCUGACUCCUUAUUAAGGUUUUAUUUGGGCCUGGCGCAGGCCCAAAUAAAGGUCAGGAGUUGAAGACCAGCUUGGGCAACGUGGUGAAACCCAUCUCCACUAAAAAUACAAAAAUUAGCCAGGUGCGGUGGUGCACAUCUGUAAUCUCAGCUACUUGAGAGGCUGAGGCAUGAGAAUCGCUUGAACCUGGGAGGUAGAGGUUGCAGUGAGCUGAGAUCACGCCACUGCCCUCCAGCCUGGGUGAUAGAGCGAGACUCCAACUCAAGAAACAAAAAAGGUUAUAUUUGCCAAUUACUAAGCCAAAGGGCACAAUCAAAGUGAUAAAUAGUGCUUUUCAAACUAUUGGGUUGUGUCCCAGUUUUUGGAUUGUGAAAUCAAAUUAGCACAACUGAAUAUGUAAUUUUGAAAAACAGAAUAGAAUAGAAAAUGCCAGACUGCAUUGGAUACAUGCAUAAGGAGUGCUAUGGGCUGAAUCAUAUCCCCACAAAUUCAUAUGUUGGAGUCCUAACCCCCGGUAGCUCAGAAUAUGACCUUAUUUGGAGAUAGAGUUUUUUAAAGAGGUAAUUAAGGUCAAAUAAGGUUAUUAGGGUGGACCCUAUUCCAAUAUAACUGGUAUCUUUAUAAGAAAGGGAGAUUAAGACACAAACGCCCACUGAGGGAAGACCAUGUGAGGACACAGGGAGAAGACAACCAUCUACAAUCCAAGGAAAGAGGCUUCAGAAGGAACCACCCUUGCUGACACCUUGAUCUUGGACUUCUGGCCUCCAGAACUGUGAGACAAUAACUUUCUGUUGUUUGAGCCACCUGGUCUGUGAUGCUUUGUUAUGGAAGCCUGAGCAAACUAAUACAAGGGUUGCGAAGUGUACAAUUGGAAUGGACACACUUGGUACCUGCCAUAACUGCUGCAUUAUUUGGCCUGUGAGUCUGAAGAGAACUGGACCUCCUGGACAUCCUGCAGAACGGCACCCUGGUCCACUGUAUCAUGCCUCAUGUCAAUCAGAUAUCAGAUGGGUGAGCAAGAUGCAGCAAGUGUACUGAAGGCCUUGGAAAGACACAUGGGCUUCAGAUCAUGGGAGACAAACCCUAAGUUUCAGAGGCCCAUCACAUCAGUUGUAGAAGUCUGGUGUUCCAAGGCGCACUGGGGAUAAAUGUAAAGGAUAAAUUAUUGCAUCUCACACCUCCCACCAUGAAGAAGGAAGCACAGUGCUGGUAGGUCCCAUCGUUUCUGGAGGCGGCAUAUUCCAUAUCUGGGAAUACUCUUCCUACCCAUAGACUGGAUUACAUGGAAGGCUGCCUCCUGUAAGUAAGGCCCAGAGGAGGGCUCUGGAGUAGAUCCAGGCUGCAGUGCAAACAGCCCUUCUGCUUGGGCUGAACAAUCCAGCAUGCCUUAGGUUACUAGUGAUCUCAGAGGUAGGGAAAGGCCACCAUGUUCAGUUUACAGAAAGUUCCACUGGGGAAUCAUGAAGGACUCCUAGGGCUCCGGAGCAACGCCAUGCCAUCUACAGUAGAAAAUUUUACACUCUUCAUUAAAGAGCUCCUGGUGUGCUGCUGCUGGACCACGGUAGAGAUGAAGCAGCUGGACAUGGGACACCAAGUGACCAUAUGCACCUCCAGAGGUGCCCCGCACAGGCUCAUCAGGUUCUAAGGCUAGGUGGGCCCUGCAGUAUCCAAGGCAAGACAGAAGUUCUGCAUCCAUGAUCAAAUAUAUCAGCAGGGCCUGAAGGCCCAAGCCAGCUACACUGGCAGCUAGCUCAGAAUUCCAGAGCCCCCACCACUGUUGCACCAAGGGUACUCCCUCAACUCACACCUAUGGCCACAUUUGGAAGGGGAAAUCCUUAUGAUCCACAGAUGGAGGAAGAAAAAGUGAGCUUGGAUCUUGGAUGGCAAAUGUGGACAAAAAUG